This 555-nucleotide ribosomal RNA is filed under the name Fusarium incarnatum. RNAcentral describes it as "eukaryotic LSU rRNA". The stretch from base 188 to 341 matches the Rfam family "5.8S ribosomal RNA". Lineage: Eukaryota; Fungi; Ascomycota; Sordariomycetes; Hypocreales; Nectriaceae. The record is from RNAcentral.
GGAGUAAGGUCUCGUUGGUGACCAGCGGAGGGAUCAUUACCGAGUUUACAACUCCCAAACCCCUGUGAACAUACCUAUACGUUGCCUCGGCGGAUCAGCCCGCGCCCUGUAAAAAGGGACGGCCCGCCCGAGGACCCUAAACUCUGUUUUUAGUGGAACUUCUGAGUAAAACAAACAAAUAAAUCAAAACUUUCAACAACGGAUCUCUUGGUUCUGGCAUCGAUGAAGAACGCAGCAAAAUGCGAUAAGUAAUGUGAAUUGCAGAAUUCAGUGAAUCAUCGAAUCUUUGAACGCACAUUGCGCCCGCCAGUAUUCUGGCGGGCAUGCCUGUUCGAGCGUCAUUUCAACCCUCAAGCUCAGCUUGGUGUUGGGACUCGCGGUAACCCGCGUUCCCCAAAUCGAUUGGCGGUCACGUCGAGCUUCCAUAGCGUAGUAAUCAUACACCUCGUUACUGGUAAUCGUCGCGGCCACGCCGUAAAACCCCAACUUCUGAAUGUUGACCUCGGAUCAGGUAGGAAUACCCGCUGAACUUAAGCAUAUCAAUAAGCGGAGGAA